AGACGUCUACAUUAGACUACCCCCGUAGUCCCAGCCGUAAACUAUGCGCGUUAGGUGUAUCGGUGACCACGAGUUACCGAGGUGCCGAAGGGAAACCGUGAAACGUGCCGCCUGGGAAGUACGGUCGACAAGGCUAGAAACUUAAAGGAAUUGGCGGGGAGCACCACAACAGGUGGAGCCUGCGGUUUAAUUGGACUCAACGCCGGGAAGCUCACCGGAUAGGACAGCAGAAUGAUUGCCGGGCUGAAGACCCUGCAUGACUAGCUG
Molecule: ribosomal RNA, 267 nt
Filed under: uncultured archaeon
Lineage: Archaea
Description: partial 16S ribosomal RNA
Rfam family: Archaeal small subunit ribosomal RNA
Source: RNAcentral